GUAGGUAUCUACCCUUUGGCCUGGAAUAACACGAGGAAACUUGUGCUAAUACCGGAUAAGUCUUUACGGAGAAAGCUUUAUGCACCAUUGGAUGAGCCUGCACUUGAUUAGUUUGUUGGUGGGGUAAUGGCCUACCAAGACUGUGAUCAAUAGCUGAUUUGAGAGGAUGAUCAGCCACAUUGGGACUGAGACACGGCCCAAACUCCUACGGGAGGCAGCAGUGGGGAAUCUUGCACAAUGGAGGAAACUCUGAUGCAGCGAUGCCGCGUGAGUGAAGAAGGCCCUUGGGUUGUAAAGCUCUUUCGUCGGGGAAGAAAAUGACUGUACCC
Molecule: ribosomal RNA, 329 nt
Filed under: uncultured bacterium
Lineage: Bacteria
Description: bacterial SSU rRNA
Rfam family: Bacterial small subunit ribosomal RNA
Source: RNAcentral